GUGUCAGCCGCCGCGGUAAUACGGAGGGCGCAAGCGUUGUUCGGAAUCACUGGGCGUAAAGCGCGUGCAGGCGGCUUGGUAAGUCGGGUGUGAAAUCCCGGAGCUCAACUCCGGAACUGCACCCGAUACUGCCUCGCUAGAGUCCCGGAGAGGAUGGCGGAAUUUCCGGUGUAGAGGUGAAAUUCGUAGAUAUCGGAAGGAACACCAGCGGCGAAGGCGGCCAUCUGGACGGUGACUGACGCUCAGACGCGAAAGCGCGGGGAGCAAACAGGAUUAGAUACCCUCGUAGUCC
Molecule: ribosomal RNA, 292 nt
Filed under: uncultured bacterium
Lineage: Bacteria
Description: partial 16S ribosomal RNA
Rfam family: Bacterial small subunit ribosomal RNA
Source: RNAcentral